This 31-nucleotide ribosomal RNA is filed under the name Pestalotia subcuticularis. RNAcentral's name for it is "partial 28S ribosomal RNA". The record is from RNAcentral. Lineage: Eukaryota; Fungi; Ascomycota; Sordariomycetes; Amphisphaeriales; Amphisphaeriaceae.
UUGACCUCGGGAUCAGGUUAGGAAUACCCGC